This 377-nucleotide ribosomal RNA is filed under the name uncultured bacterium. Its description in RNAcentral is "bacterial SSU rRNA". It matches the Rfam family "Bacterial small subunit ribosomal RNA", at positions 28 to 408 of the family's 1533-position model. The record is from RNAcentral.
GACGAACGCUGGCGGCGUGCUUAACACAUGCAAGUCGAACGGAAAGGCCCUUCGGGGUACUCGAGUGGCGAACGGGUGAGUAACACGUGGGUGAUCUGCCCUGCACUUUGGGAUAAGCCUGGGAAACUGGGUCUAAUACCGGAUAGGACUACGGCCUGCAUGGGUUGUGGUGGAAAGCUUUUGCGGUGUGGGAUGGGCCCGCGGCCUAUCAGCUUGUUGGUGGGGUGAUGGCCUACCAAGGCGACGACGGGUAGCCGGCCUGAGAGGGUGACCGGCCACACUGGGACUGAGAUACGGCCCAGACUCCUACGGGAGGCAGCAGUGGGGAAGUAUUGCACAAUGGGCGCAAGCCUGAUGCAGCGACGCCGCGUGGGGGA